UUAUUGCUGGAGAAUACGCGUAG
Molecule: microRNA, 23 nt
Filed under: Gallus gallus (chicken)
Lineage: Eukaryota; Metazoa; Chordata; Aves; Galliformes; Phasianidae
Description: Gga-Mir-137-P3-v1_3p (mature (guide))
Source: RNAcentral